GUCAGGCAAGAAGGCAAUGUUUAGGGUCCAGGCUGAAAAGCCCCACGGGAACAGCAAGGGGCAGAGGCUGAGGAGGACCCCAGCCGUCUCCCUGUCGCGUCCAGGAGAGGCUUGCUGUCAUUGUUUGUGCCUGGCCUGGCCAGGAAGUGAGCCGAAGCAGCCUUGCCUCAUGGGGCCGCGCUUGAGAAUUGACCUUCGAACCCAAUGAGAAAACAGGUUCAGAGAGGGGAAGUGACUUAGCAGAGUCACACGCAUCAGAAGGGGUGGACUCGAGAGCUAAACCUCUGGACUCCGAAGACUCUGCUUGCUCCCCUGUGCUGGGCUGUCUGUCUCGCGAGCAGAGGAGCCUGAAAACAGAAUGCGUUGCCUUAGAAGGUAGUGAGUUCCUUGUCGUUGAAGGUGACCAUCUAUCAAGGAUCCCAUGGGAGGGAUUCAAUAAAAUCAAUUUAGUUUGUCCUAGGAGUAAAGAUCUUAGGCUUUGGGAUCAUAAGCCAUCUUAGGUAUUCAUUUGCUGAAGUUUUCUUUUGCUAUUUCAUUGACCUACUAUAGUCCAAGUGCUUGUCACAGGGCCAAGUACCUGGAUGGAGGACCCACAAAUUAGAGCUUUUAAAAUGGGCUGGAGUCAGUUGUGAUGGCCUAGAAAGUCCCCCAAGUCCUGAGAAUGCAUAGGCAGUUGUCCCCUGCUUAUUACACAUGGGACGAUCCUUGAGAUUUCUUCUACCCUUGAAAUUCCUUGGAAUCAACUUUGACUUUAAGUCCCUACUCCCAGGUGCUUGCCAAGCCCCAAGAGCUCACCCCUCAGUCUCAAAGUCAGUUAGAGGGCUUCCAUGCUGGGUUAAAGACAGGAUUACCACGCAGCAUCGGGGAGGAAUAUCCAUGGAAGUUGCAACCAUCUUGCUUCUUGGAGCAGAAAGAGCACGACUUUGGGUUUGAAUCUGGUGUCGUCCCUCACUGCUUGAUGGAGAUCUCACUUAAGUCACUGAACAUCUUUGGGCCUGGUUUGCAGAUCAUUGAGUGGCAUUAUCAAUACCUCACAAAGCUAUGCAGAACCUAGAAGGCCAGCCAUCUGCAGAGGUCUCUGCAUGUGCUCAGGAAACGCCUGAAAAGACCCUAAGCUCUCGCCUCUGGCUAACCUUGAGGCACUGAGCUAGCAGCAAGUGAAGGCUAAGGUGAAGUUGUACACACCCCAGCUGGUGUGGAAGGCGUGCCCCAUCACGCACACUCGGAGCCCUUCGGCAAAGACUGGGGGGCUUACCAGUUCCAGGCAUCUGAGGAAAUCUCUAUAUAUUGUAUAAAGCAAUUACAAUAAAUAUGUUGAUAGAUACACAAUAUAGAAAGAAGCGAUUUGUAUGACAAUAAUAGCAAAACAAGGCAGGGUAAGUAACGAGGUUAUAGAAAAACAACAUAUUUAUGUACUAUUGAAACUAAGUUUAUAUUAAUCCAAACUACAUUGUUAUAGGUUAAGAUGCUAAUUGUAAUAAAAUUACAAUUAAUAAGAAAAUAAAUUUUAAAAAGACAAAGGAAUUUGAAUGGUGCAUUAGAAAAUAUCUAUUUAACACAAAAGAAAGUAUAGAGGAAUAGAACAAAAAAGAUAUAAUCCAUAUAGAAAACAAAUAACAAA
Molecule: long non-coding RNA, 1621 nt
Filed under: Equus asinus (donkey)
Lineage: Eukaryota; Metazoa; Chordata; Mammalia; Perissodactyla; Equidae
Description: lncRNA (ENSEASG00005028755.1)
Source: RNAcentral